AUACGGAGGAUCCGAGCGUUAUCCGGAUUUAUUGGGUUUAAAGGGUGCGCAGGCGGGAGAUUAAGUCGGCGGUGAAAUUUUGCAGCUCAACUGUAAAAGUGCCUUCGAAACUGGGUUCCUUGAGUGUAGAUGAAGUAGGCGGAAUUUGUGGUGUAGCGGUGAAAUGCAUAGAUAUCACGAGGAAAUCCGAUUGCGCAGGCAGCUUACUAAACUACUACUGACGCUCAGGCACGAAGGCGUGGGGAUCAAACAGGAUUAGAUACCCUGGUAGUCCACGCAGUAAACGAUGAUUACUAGCUGUUUGCGAUACAAUGUAAGCGGCUGAGCGAAAGCGUUAAGUAAUCCACCUGGGGAGUACGUUCGCAAGAAUGAAACUUAAAGGAAUUGACGGGG
RNAcentral lists this ribosomal RNA (393 nucleotides) under uncultured bacterium. RNAcentral describes it as "partial 16S ribosomal RNA". It matches the Rfam family "Bacterial small subunit ribosomal RNA", at positions 523 to 918 of the family's 1533-position model. The record is from RNAcentral.